AGUGUAGGCGGCUUCGUAAGUCGGAUGUGAAAGCCCCGGGCUUAACCUGGGAAUUGCAUUCGAUACUGCGCGGCUAGAGUUUGAUAGAGGAAAGUGGAAUUCCAGGUGUAGCGGUGAAAUGCGUAGAUAUCUGGAGGAACAUCAGUGGCGAAGGCGGCUUUCUGGAUCAAAACUGACGCUGAGGCUCGAAAGCGUGGGGAGCAAACA
Molecule: ribosomal RNA, 207 nt
Filed under: uncultured bacterium
Lineage: Bacteria
Description: partial 16S ribosomal RNA
Rfam family: Bacterial small subunit ribosomal RNA
Source: RNAcentral